Cherax quadricarinatus is the source of this 310-nucleotide non-coding RNA. The record is from RefSeq and is a predicted model, not a curated record. Lineage: Eukaryota; Metazoa; Arthropoda; Malacostraca; Decapoda; Parastacidae.
GGAUGUCACCCACAGCCAAGUAACUACAGUACUAGGUAUUUAAUUAUUGCUAGGUGAUCAGGGGCAGUAUAUAUAAAAACACUUGCUCACACAUCUUGCCUCACCCAGAAUUGAAGCACUGGCACAUACAUCUCGCUUCAACCAGGACUGGAACACUUACUCAUACAUCUUGCCUCACCCAGGUGUGAAACACUUGCUCAUACAUCUCACCUCAACCAGGCAUGAAACACUUGCUCAUACAUCUUGCCUCACCCAGGACUGGAACACUGGCUCAUACAUCUUGCCUCACCCAGGAUUGAAGCAAUGGCUC